GCUAGAAUAGUUCAAUUGGUUAAAGCUUGUGGCUGUUAACCACAAGGUCGAAGGUUCAAGCCCUUCCUCCAGUG
This 74-nucleotide transfer RNA is filed under the name Asparagus officinalis (garden asparagus). Its description in RNAcentral is "tRNA A4U43_Asn299". It matches the Rfam family "tRNA". Rfam says of the family: Transfer RNA (tRNA) molecules are approximately 80 nucleotides in length. Their secondary structure includes four short double-helical elements and three loops (D, anti-codon, and T loops). Lineage: Eukaryota; Viridiplantae; Streptophyta; Magnoliopsida; Asparagales; Asparagaceae. The record is from Rfam by way of RNAcentral.